UUUUUUUUUUUUUUUUUUUGGUGCGCUUUGCACUCUUGUUUGCACAAAAUCUACUUGUUUUUCUAAAUGCCCUUCGCUUAGCAUAUGUAAAAGCACUUUUCUCUCAAUCACUAUGCUUAUGCUCUUUAGCGAGCUCCUUUUGUGCUUUUGACUACACUACUAUUAGCACGUAUGGAUCUUCUAGCUACAAACAUUGACUCAUUAUUGCUUAAUGCACAAGCAGAAGGAACAAAUUGAGAUUUCCCUCAUUAAAUAUUCCAUGGGAAGAACAAGAUUUGCCAGGAAAUAAUUCUUUAUGAAAGAUGACAACCUUCAAGUUCACGUAGGCGAUGCA
RNAcentral lists this unclassified non-coding RNA (334 nucleotides) under Hevea brasiliensis (rubber tree). The record is from RNAcentral. Lineage: Eukaryota; Viridiplantae; Streptophyta; Magnoliopsida; Malpighiales; Euphorbiaceae.